AUGCUCAUUCAAGUUGUACAGCGUAGGCAUGGAAUCAAGGCAGAUCUGGCACGUGUGGCUUUGCUGAGGUUUAUCUGCAUGAAUGGUCUUCAGGUGGAUCUCCAGAACAGCAAGGCUGUUGAAGUCACGCUUCGAGCAGUAUGGGCAGCUAUGACACGAGCCAAGUUCAGAAAUAUACACAUGAAGCUAAAAGAAAUAAAAUCAAGUCUUAAAAAAACAUGUCUUUUUUAGGACAGAGACAUGUAGCACAUCACAGAUCGCCAGAAGCAAGCAGCUCUGUCUCCUCAGCAUACACCGAUGAAGGCAAUGGUGGACUAUGAAUCACCAGCUCUUGGGUCAGUGAUGGCAUUUCGUGCUGACACCGCACCCGUCGGAGCAGCGCCGCAACCAGUCGGCUGUGUCUGAAACCCGGCGUGCAGGAGUACUCCAACGCGCUUUGCUACACAACAGAAAAGGGCUUCUACAGCUUAGAAUUAUCCCUACAAAAAUAUCACGUAACUAGCCCCAGAACUGGUCAGCACAUCCUCACUUAGGCAUAAGAGAGGCACUAGAAGCUCAGGCUGCCCCGAAGAGCUCCCUAUGCAACUCAGGAACAUCGGCUUCUUCACAAAGCAUUCUUGAUACUUGUCUUAUUUCAAGGCAUUGUUGUAUUUAUAUAUAUAUAUAUAUAUUUAUAUGUAUAUAUAAUGCUGAAAGUGAAACUGACUUGGGAUAAAAAAGCCUAGGAGGUGCUAAUACAAGGGGCACCGCCGGCAGUUCUCUCAUGAUUACAAGCAGAAUGCAGCGAUACCUACUGACAUGCUUAUGCAGCAGGCAUUUGUGGUGCACCAAAGAACCAGCAGUUACUGACUCUUUCUCCAACUUCUCAGCUUUGCACUGCCUUUUUUAAGCAAGGUUUUUAAAACAGAAAGGAGGACGUCUGGCUCAAUGGAAAAUACAUAUAAUCUAUUUUUUCUUCUCAUGAAUAGAGCAACUUGGUAUUUAGAAUACCAAAUCAGCACACGAUGUCGUGCAGAAUUUCAAACAUGAAAUUUGCCGGGAUGUCUGCUGCAGAUAAACUGUUACACAUAGCCAGUUUAAACCUAGUCGUCUUUGUUUAAACCUUUCUUUUGUGAUCAAAGAUGCAUUUAAUUGGUCUUUUUUUAUGCUGUAAGUUAAAAGAACACAGAAAAAUGUCUAUUGAAGCUUAGCUGAUACACAGAAACUUGUUAAGUCAGCGUUACCCAUCCGGAGCCCUGGUCUGCCAUUAGCAAGGAUGUCAAGACUCAAUAAUGGCCAUCGAUAGGAUGAGACUUAAUUUAACACACAUGAUAAAACCAGAAAGUUACUUUUAACAUUGUUGUUCUUACAUCAAACAGUCUGUAUUUUAGAGGUAACAAAAAAUUAAUAUAUCACUGAAUAAGUUAUUUCUCACCUCGAUAAAUGGCAUAAUAAGGGGUGGAGGAGAAAGUUUUAUGUUAGAUCUAGGAAUAAACAAAAUGCUUUCAGGGUUGAAUCACUGUUUUUCUUUACUCCCUUUGGAAAAGCAGCAGAUACUAUAUUCUGCUGUGCAUCAUGGACUUGGGACUGAAAACAGCUGCACUCUAAUUACAUGUAAAGUGUACCAAAACAUUCCUUUUAUCACAGACUGUAAAUCUGUUAGCAUCUGUCUCUCCUUUGUUUCUUCCACAAGAUACAAGCUUGUUUCUACAUUUUUCUCACCUGUAGCGGUGAUUAAAAUUCAUUAUAAAUGAAAGGAGUGAACACUAAAACAAGUUCCUCUGUGUACAGUUCUAAACUCAAAUUAGAAACAGCUGUUUGCUAAUUCAUGCAGUGAUGUUUUGUCGUGCUCUGUGAAUCAAUAAUAACUCACCCUAUUUCUCCAGAAAUGUUAGGAUUAGACUUAGAUUUUGCUUAGCCAUUUGCUCUUCAGAAAUGCUCAAAUACACAUUCUGUCUUUUUUAAGCGAGAUUAGAGGAUGAUACCGGCAGAACCAUCAAUGAAUUAAGAAGAAGAUCUUAAUAGCUUGCUGCUUGUGCUUACCCUGCUUCCUAGAGGGUCCUGUGCCAUCCUUGCCAGCUUUGAUACCUACAGAGCAUUUAGCAAGAAGGCUUAUUGUAAGACGGAUGUAAACGAACCAAACUGUAUUGGGGUCACGUGCACGCGUCGUGGAUGCAACAGUCACACAGAGAACACUAUAAAAUCAGAGGUUGGGCUACGACGCGCACAGCUUCCAAACACAAGGA
This is a long non-coding RNA of Cygnus atratus (black swan), 2225 nucleotides long. RefSeq lists it as uncharacterized. Lineage: Eukaryota; Metazoa; Chordata; Aves; Anseriformes; Anatidae. The record is from RefSeq and is a predicted model, not a curated record. The transcript has 3 exons.